GACGAACGCUGGCGGCGUGCCUAAUACAUGCAAGUCGAGCGAAGUUUUUCUGGUGCUUGCACUAGAAAAACUUAGCGGCGAACGGGUGAGUAACACGUAAAGAACCUGCCUCAUAGAUUGGGACAACUAUUGGAAACGAUAGCUAAUACCGGAUAACAGUAUUUCUCGCAUGAGAGAUAUUUAAAAGUUGGUUAUGCUAACACUAUGAGAUGGCUUUGCGGUGCAUUAGCUAGUUGGUGGGGUAAAGGCCCACCAAGGCGACGAUGCAUAGCCGACCUGAGAGGGUGAUCGGCCACACUGGGACUGAGACACGGCCCAGACUCCUACGGGAGGCAGCAGUAGGGAAUCUUCCGCAAUGGGCGAAAGCCUGACGGAGCAACGCCGCGUGAGUGAAGAAGGAUUUCGGUUCGUAAAGCUCUGUUGUUAGGGAAGAAUGGAUAUGUAGUAACUAUACAUGUAAGAGACGGUACCUAACCAGAAAGCCACGGCUAACUACGUG
Molecule: ribosomal RNA, 499 nt
Filed under: uncultured bacterium
Lineage: Bacteria
Description: partial 16S ribosomal RNA
Rfam family: Bacterial small subunit ribosomal RNA
Source: RNAcentral